This 19-nucleotide unclassified non-coding RNA is filed under the name Mus musculus (house mouse). RNAcentral describes it as "oocyte_clustered_small_RNA5692". Lineage: Eukaryota; Metazoa; Chordata; Mammalia; Rodentia; Muridae. The record is from RNAcentral.
UCCGGGUCCCAGCUGCAGG